GUGAUUGCCGAAAGGCUAACUAGAUUCAUAAACACCUGUGAACUGUUAGAUUGACUCGAAAGAGUCAAUUUUAUUACAAACAUUGUGUAAUGAACGUCUUAGUAUUAUAACUAAAA
Molecule: unclassified non-coding RNA, 116 nt
Filed under: uncultured Tremellales
Lineage: Eukaryota; Fungi; Basidiomycota; Tremellomycetes; Tremellales
Description: sequence contains ITS1
Source: RNAcentral